CAUGAGCACGAAGCUGAUUCUCGUAGGAUGGCGCACACGCGAGGCGGUCUGAAGACCGCCCGGCGAUAGCCACGUGUGCGCGAGACAAAGGGCCCCUGGAGGCCCUUUUUUAUUGCCGAAA
RNAcentral lists this small RNA (121 nucleotides) under Aurantimonas sp. 22II-16-19i. RNAcentral describes it as "Rhizobiales sRNA Atu_C8". It matches the Rfam family "Rhizobiales sRNA Atu_C8". The record is from Rfam by way of RNAcentral. Lineage: Bacteria; Pseudomonadati; Pseudomonadota; Alphaproteobacteria; Hyphomicrobiales; Aurantimonadaceae.